CCUGACCUCAAGCAAUCCUCCUGCUUCAGCCUCCCAAAGUGCUGGGAUUACAGGUGUGAGCCACUGCAUCUGGCCAGAUGAUGACCUUGACCUCUGAUUGCUGCCACAUAACUGGAACUCAGAGACCUUCUUGCACAUCUGUGGAAAGGGGAGUUUGCUUUGAACUGCAUUUCCUCACCAGCGUCACCCAUUCCUUAAGAGUCAGGUUGAUAAACGAGUCAAUGCUGAGCCCAAACCAGGCAGGAUUAAUCAUUUCCUCCUCCACAUUGCUGCUGCUGCUGCUGCUGCAUCCUGUGUCUGAGUCAUUUCCUCAUCUUUAAUAGCUAACAUGAUGCCCAGUACAAAAUAGGACCUGGAACAUGGCAGACAGUCAGUAAGUGCUGGGUCACCUUCAGGCCACCCUGGACCAUCCAGCUCUAGCUAAGCCAUCAGCUGACUACAACUACAUGAAUGAACCCAGGAGAUAAGAGCAGAAGAAUCACCUAGCUGAGCCCAGCCAAACUGCAGCAUAUAGUAUCAUGAGCUAAUAAACAAUUCCUGCUUUAAGCCCUAAGCCCUAACAAUUUGAAGUCCUUGUUACACAGCAAAUACUGUUGCAAACAAUGACGUUUUAAGAAGAGCUGGGAUCGAGCUGGUAUUUAGGAGCAACUGAAACCAGGACUCUCUUGUUCUGUCUCAUGUCUUUCCUAUUUUCUGCACGUUAUCUUCCCUCUCUUUCAUAGCACAUUGAUUUUCUUCAUGGUGCAGAGAAAAAGGUUGAGUUUUAUAGCUUGCAUCUUCAAGAUAAUGGAGAAAAACUGAUUCUGUUUUCUGCAUCUCAGAUCUAAAAAUCCCUGGGAAAAGACUCAUUGGCCCAGCUUAGGUCAAGCCUCCCCUUGGACCAAUCAACUGGUAAUGGAGUAGGGAGGGCACUCCAUCACAACACACACGUUAGAUGACAUAUGAGCAAAACUAUCCCAGGCACUGUUUUAAGGCUUAACAUGUGUUAACUGACUUCAUCCUCAUAAUACAACAAUCCCAUCAGAGCUAUUAUUGUCUCUGUUUUGAAGUGAGGAAACUGAAAACAAGCCACAGAGAGGUGAAGUAACUUGCCCAAGACUACACAGCUAAAAAGAGGUGCAGCCAGGACUUACACCACAGCUAUCUGACUCCAGAAUCCACCCACUUAAUGACCACAGUGGUCUGCCUCUCAUAUUGAGUUCCUGGGGGGUUCCAAUAGAUUGAGGGGUGGGCAGGAUGGAGGCACUCCAAGGAAAUAUCUGGAAUGCUAACUCAGAGAAGGUAAGCCUCUGGGGGCCCUUGAUCUCACUGUCUUCAGGCCUCUAAAUGACUCUCACUAGGCAAUGGCAGUGGAAGGUUCUGGAUCACCUCAGAAAACAAAUCUAGGAUCAGUGGGUGGACACCACUGGAAAGUGGGUUUCAAUUCGAUGGUAGGAAUUUCUUCAGAGUCAGGGAUAUUAGUGCUCAAAGUCACACAACAAGCUGAACUGGGGUUUAAACUUAUGCCUGAAGGAGUGCUGAGGCUUUGCUGUUAACCACUGUGCCCCAUCUUCGUUUCCUUCUCAAAAUGAGGAAAAGAAUAUUGGUGGAGGUGAGGCAGGGAGACACAGGGCCUACAUCUACCCACAUUUCAUUAAAGGCCUGCUGUUUCCCAGCAGAUGGAGGCUGCUUAUGUGAUCAUCUCCAGUUACCCCGUGGGUUUGCCCCGCCCCCUUGGCUGGUGUGUAAAUUCCCUGUGGGGAGAGUCAUGUGCCCUCUUAAAUG
RNAcentral lists this long non-coding RNA (1764 nucleotides) under Homo sapiens (human). Its description in RNAcentral is "HSALNT0005532". The record is from RNAcentral. Lineage: Eukaryota; Metazoa; Chordata; Mammalia; Primates; Hominidae.